UAGUUCCAGACUUGCUUGGGGAAACAUCCUCAAUCAAGCUUGCUGGGGAGUCCCUGAUCUCGACUAUGCUGGAGAAACAAGUCCCGAACUUGCUUCACCUGCUGGGGAACAUACCCAUCCUCUUACACUACUGGACAGUGCUGACAACAUCCCUGAACGAACCGUGGCUUUUCUGCUUCAGCCAAGAAUCAAAGGUAACAACCUGCAAAACA
RNAcentral lists this long non-coding RNA (212 nucleotides) under Lathyrus oleraceus (garden pea). RNAcentral's name for it is "Pisum sativum (pea) long non-coding RNA (PSAT_LNC007634)". The record is from RNAcentral. Lineage: Eukaryota; Viridiplantae; Streptophyta; Magnoliopsida; Fabales; Fabaceae.